AUAAAAAUACCAUUUUCUGACAAUCUUUAAAACUUAAAAUGUUCAUCAAUUUUAAGAGACUCAGUAAAAAGAACUUGUCUAAGAUCAUUAUAAACAGGACAAUGUAAAAUAACAUGAUAUUCAUCUUCGACAGUAUUAAAACAAUUAAAACAACAUCUCUCUUCCAGCGGCAAAUUUUCAUACCUCCCAGUUUCCAGUCUAAUAGGAGCCACCCCACAUCUAAAUUUUGCAAAGGCGCUUCUUUCACAAAAAGGCACUAACAGUUUGCAGUAGUUUUCAACAACAUACUCCUGCUUAAAAAUAUUAUAGGUUCUCAAUUUAUUACGCCCAUUUCCCCGUCUGGAAGAGGAUGAACUAACAAUACUUUUCCAUUCUUCAAUAUAAUUAUCAAACAUUCUUAACAUGACUGUAUCAA
Molecule: long non-coding RNA, 415 nt
Filed under: Mytilus galloprovincialis (Mediterranean mussel)
Lineage: Eukaryota; Metazoa; Mollusca; Bivalvia; Mytilida; Mytilidae
Source: RNAcentral